This 591-nucleotide ribosomal RNA is filed under the name Triticum aestivum (bread wheat). Its description in RNAcentral is "partial small subunit ribosomal RNA". The record is from RNAcentral. Lineage: Eukaryota; Viridiplantae; Streptophyta; Magnoliopsida; Poales; Poaceae.
AUGAGUGCUGACAGCGCGAGAUCUCACCCUCUCAUCGAUUUGUUCAUACCAACUAUCGACAGCGAGCACGGCAUAUGCUACACCCAUCCUGAGAAACUUCCAGGUAUCACACUGAGUGGCCUAAGCAAGCAUUUCUUCCAGCGCAAUUCCAGGGCGUUCAAAAGGGGCACGUGGACACGUCGCAAGAUACUGUUAGAGUGCGGCAUGCACACAAUGUGGCACAAGACCGGCAAUACCUUGCCGGUGAUGGUCAAUGGCCGGCAGACGGGCAGCAAAAAGGUUCUGGUGCUGCACACCAACAAGAACUUCGACCAUUCCGGCAAAAAAAAGAACUUCGACCAGCAGAGGACAAACUGGGUGAUGCAUCAGUACCACCUCGGGGACGUGGAGCAAGAGAAGGAGUGGGAGCUGGUCCUCCGCAAGAUUUUCUACCAGACGAACACUAGGGCCAGGACUAAAAAGAUUAUAAGUCGAGCAAGUUUCAACUGGGCUGUAGACUGCCCAUGCUUGGUUUUGUUUUUAACAGGCCUAGCCCAUGACGACAACGGGGAACAAAGAUCCAGCAGAUUUUUUACUGAAUCAAACACAUAG